This 416-nucleotide unclassified non-coding RNA is filed under the name uncultured Inocybe. RNAcentral's name for it is "sequence contains ITS2". The stretch from base 1 to 154 matches the Rfam family "5.8S ribosomal RNA". Lineage: Eukaryota; Fungi; Basidiomycota; Agaricomycetes; Agaricales; Cortinariaceae. The record is from RNAcentral.
AACUUUUGGCAAUGGAUCUCUUGGCUCUCGCAUCGAUGAAAAACGCACCGAAAUGCGAUAAGUAAUGUGAAUUGCAGAAUUCAGUGAAUCAUCGAAUCUUUGAACGCAUCUUGCGCCCCUUGGUAUUCCGAGGAGCAUGCCUGUUUGAGAAUCAUUUAACUUCUCAACCACUUGAUAUUCAAGUGGCUUGGAUCUGGGGGUUGUUUGCAGGCUUUUUCUGUCAAAAGGAAAGGUCAGCUCCCCUGAAAUGUAUUAGUGGUAUCUGUGCUGCUACUAUAGGUGUGAUAAUUAUCUAUGCCUUUGGUAUGCUGCAUGAACGGAUUGCACUGCUUAUUAACAAAGACAAACUUGAUAAAUUUGACCUCAAAUCAGGUAGGACUACCCGCUGAACUUAAGCAUAUCAAUAAGCGGAGGCU